RNAcentral lists this ribosomal RNA (479 nucleotides) under uncultured bacterium. RNAcentral describes it as "bacterial SSU rRNA". It matches the Rfam family "Bacterial small subunit ribosomal RNA", at positions 8 to 480 of the family's 1533-position model. The record is from RNAcentral.
AGAGUUUGAUCCUGGCUCAGGAUGAACGCUAGCGGGAGGCUUAACACAUGCAAGUCGAGGGGCAGCACGAUGUAGCAAUACAUUGGUGGCGACCGGCGCACGGGUGAGUAACACGUAUGUAACCUACCCUGUACAGGGGGAUAACCCGGAGAAAUUCGGACUAAUAUUCCAUAAAGAUAUUUUGAGGCAUCUUAAGAUAUUUAAAGUUUCGACGGUACGGGAUGGGCAUGCGCAACAUUAGCUGGUUGGUAGGGUAACGGCCUACCAAGGCCUCGAUGUUUAGGGGACCUGAGAGGGUGAUCCCCCACACUGGUACUGAGACACGGACCAGACUCCUACGGGAGGCAGCAGUGAGGAAUAUUGGUCAAUGGGCGCAAGCCUGAACCAGCCAUCCCGCGUGAAGGAAGAAAGCGCUAUGCGUUGUAAACUUCUUUUCCAGGGGAAUAAAAUGCAUUACGAGUAGUGCACUGAAGGUACCC